GAUGAAGAACGCAGCGAAAUGCGAUAAGUAAUGUGAGUUGCAGAAUUCAGUGAAUCAUCGAAUCUUUGAACGCACAUUGCGCCCGCCAGUAUUCUGGCGGGCAUGCCUGUCUGAGCGUCAUUUCAACCCUCAUGCCCCUAGGGCGUGGUGUUGGGGAUCGGCCAAAGCCCGCGAGGGACGGCCGGCCCCUAAAUCUAGUGGCGGACCCGUCGUGGCCUCCUCUGCGAAGUAGUGAUAUUCCGCAUCGGAGAGCGACGAGCCCCUGCCGUUAAACCCCCAACUUUCCAAGGUUGACCUCAGAUCAGGUAGGAAUACCCGCUGAACUUAAGCAUAUCAAUAAGCGGAGGA
RNAcentral lists this unclassified non-coding RNA (348 nucleotides) under soil metagenome. RNAcentral describes it as "partial contains 5.8S ribosomal RNA, internal transcribed spacer 2, and large subunit ribosomal RNA". The stretch from base 1 to 120 matches the Rfam family "5.8S ribosomal RNA", at positions 35 to 154 of the family's 154-position model. The record is from RNAcentral.